RNAcentral lists this ribosomal RNA (258 nucleotides) under uncultured bacterium. RNAcentral describes it as "partial small subunit ribosomal RNA". It matches the Rfam family "Bacterial small subunit ribosomal RNA", at positions 26 to 285 of the family's 1533-position model. The record is from RNAcentral.
AGGACGAACGCUGGCGGCGUGCUUAACACAUGCAAGUCGAGCGAGGCCCUUCCUUCGGGAAGGUGCCCUAGCGGCGAACGGGUGAGUAACACGUGGGCAACCUGCCCCUAGCACUGGGAUAACUCCGGGAAACCGGGGCUAAUACCGGAUAUGACCUCUGAGGGCAUCCUCUAAGGUGUAAAGGAUUCUGGCUAGGGAUGGGCCCGCGGCCUAUCAGCUUGUUGGUGGGGUAAUGGCCUACCAAGGCGACGGCGGGUA